ACUCUUACGGGAGGCAGCAGUGGAGAAUAUUGGACAAUGGGCGCAAGCCUGAUCCAGCCAUGCCGCGUGGGUGAUGAAGGCCCUAGGGUUGUAAAGCCCUUUCGGCGGGGAAGAUAAUGACGGUACCCGCAGAAGAAGCCCCGGCUAACUUCGUGCCAGCAGCCGCGGUAAUACGAAGGGGGCUAGCGUUGCUCGGAAUCACUGGGCGUAAAGCGCACGUAGGCGGAUUGUUAAGUCAGGGGUGAAAUCCUGGAGCUCAACUCCAGAACUGCCUUUGAUACUGACGGUCUUGAGUCCGGGAGAGGUGAGUGGAACUGCGAGUGUAGAGGUGAAAUUCGUAGAUAUUCGCAAGAACACCAGUGGCGAAGGCGGCUCACUGGCCCGGUACUGACGCUGAGGUGCGAAAGCGUGGGGAGCAAACAGGAUUAGAUACCCUGGUAGUCCACGCCGUAAACGAUGGAUGCUAGCCGUUGGCGGGUUUACCCGUCAGUGGCGCAGCUAACGCAUUAAGCAUCCCGCCUGGGGAGUACGGUCGCAAGAUUAAAACUCCAAGGAAUUGACG
Molecule: ribosomal RNA, 562 nt
Filed under: uncultured Alphaproteobacteria bacterium
Lineage: Bacteria; Pseudomonadati; Pseudomonadota; Alphaproteobacteria
Description: SSU rRNA
Rfam family: Bacterial small subunit ribosomal RNA
Source: RNAcentral